RNAcentral lists this ribosomal RNA (299 nucleotides) under uncultured Ferroglobus sp. RNAcentral's name for it is "partial 16S ribosomal RNA". It matches the Rfam family "Bacterial small subunit ribosomal RNA", at positions 497 to 795 of the family's 1533-position model. The record is from RNAcentral. Lineage: Archaea; Methanobacteriati; Methanobacteriota; Archaeoglobi; Archaeoglobales; Archaeoglobaceae.
UGAAGUCGGUGCCGGCAGCCGGGGUAAUUCGGAGGGUGCAAGCGUGAAUCGGAAUAUCUUGGGGUAAAGCGUGCGCAAGCGGCUUAUUAAGUCAGAUGUGAAAUCCCUAGGCUCAACCUAGGAACUGCAUUUGAAACUAAUAAACUAGAGUAUCGUAGAGGGAGGUAGAAUUCCAGGUGUAGCGGUGAAAUGCGUAGAUAUCUGGAGGAAUACCAGUGGCGAAGGCGACCUCCUGGACGAAAACUGACGCUCAAGCACGAAAGCAUGGGGAGCAAACAGGAUUAGAUACCCCGGUAGUC